AAACUCUGGAGAGAGGCAUGCAUGUAUGCCCACCGAAGGGGACGGCGAGUUCUUGCGCCUAAGCUCUCAGGUACCGUGACAGAUGGGGUAUG
RNAcentral lists this non-coding RNA (92 nucleotides) under Paraburkholderia piptadeniae. RNAcentral describes it as "Glycine". It matches the Rfam family "Glycine riboswitch aptamer". Rfam says of the family: This family represents the bacterial glycine riboswitch. Glycine riboswitches usually consist of two metabolite-binding aptamers domains with similar structures in tandem. The aptamers cooperatively bind glycine to regulate the expression of downstream genes. Lineage: Bacteria; Pseudomonadati; Pseudomonadota; Betaproteobacteria; Burkholderiales; Burkholderiaceae. The record is from RNAcentral.